This 253-nucleotide ribosomal RNA is filed under the name uncultured bacterium. RNAcentral describes it as "partial 16S ribosomal RNA". It matches the Rfam family "Bacterial small subunit ribosomal RNA", at positions 524 to 776 of the family's 1533-position model. The record is from RNAcentral.
UACGUAGGGUGCAAGCGUUAAUCGGAAUUACUGGGCGUAAAGCGUGCGCAGGCGGUUUUGUAAGACAGGCGUGAAAUCCCCGGGCUCAACCUGGGAAUGGCGCUUGUGACUGCAAAGCUUGAGUGCGGCAGAGGGGGAUGGAAUUCCGCGUGUAGCAGUGAAAUGCGUAGAUAUGCGGAGGAACACCGAUGGCGAAGGCAAUCCCCUGGGCCUGCACUGACGCUCAGGCACGAAAGCGUGGGGAGCAAACAGG